GGAGGAAGCCCCGGCUAACUACGGGCCAGCAGCCGCGGUAAUACGUAGGGGGCUAGCGUUAUCCGGAUUUACUGGGCGUAAAGGGUGCGUAGGCGGUCUUUCAAGGCAGGAGUGAAAGGCUACGGCUCAACCGUAGUAAGCUCUUGAAACUGGGAGACUUGAGUGCAGGAGAGGAGAGUGGAAUUCCUAGUGUAGCGGUGAAAUGCGUAGAUAUUAGGAGGAACACCAGUUGCGAAGGCGGCUCUCUGGACUGU
RNAcentral lists this ribosomal RNA (254 nucleotides) under Clostridioides difficile. RNAcentral's name for it is "partial 16S ribosomal RNA". It matches the Rfam family "Bacterial small subunit ribosomal RNA", at positions 483 to 737 of the family's 1533-position model. Lineage: Bacteria; Bacillati; Bacillota; Clostridia; Peptostreptococcales; Peptostreptococcaceae. The record is from RNAcentral.